This is a non-coding RNA of Dipodomys ordii (Ord's kangaroo rat), 139 nucleotides long. The record is from Ensembl. NCBI's taxonomy places the organism in Eukaryota, Metazoa, Chordata, Mammalia, Rodentia, Heteromyidae.
GUGUGCCUAGGUAAGAAGUUCAAGGUUCCCAGUGCUCAGCUCCUGCGGUGGCGCAGGACGCACAGUGUACCCCCCCCCCCUCAGUUUAGGAGGGCAGCCUGAAGAAUGGGUCUGGCUCUUAAAGGCACGAGGAGACAAU